This 785-nucleotide ribosomal RNA is filed under the name Heriades crucifera. RNAcentral describes it as "SSU rRNA". It matches the Rfam family "Eukaryotic small subunit ribosomal RNA", at positions 457 to 1201 of the family's 1831-position model. The record is from RNAcentral. Lineage: Eukaryota; Metazoa; Arthropoda; Insecta; Hymenoptera; Megachilidae.
CGGGGAGGUAGUGACGAAAAAUAACGAUACGGGACUCAUCCGAGGCCCCGUAAUCGGAAUGAGUACACUUUAAAUCCUUUAACAAGGAUCCAUUGGAGGGCAAGUCUGGUGCCAGCAGCCGCGGUAAUUCCAGCUCCAAUAGCGUAUAUUAAAGUUGUUGCGGUUAAAAAGCUCGUAGUUGAAUCUGUGUGUCACAGUGUCGGUUCACCGCUCGCGGUGUUUAACUGGCAUUAUGUGGUACGUCCUACCGGUGGGCUUAGCUCCUCACGGGGCGGUCCAACUAAUAUCCCAUCGCGGUGCUCUUUACUGAGUGUCGAGGUGGGCCGGUACGUUUACUUUGAACAAAUUAGAGUGCUCAAAGCAGGCUACCUUCGCCUGAAUAUUAUGUGCAUGGAAUAAUGGAAUAGGACCUCGGUUCUAUUUUGUUGGUUUUCGGAACCCCGAGGUAAUGAUUAAUAGGGACAGAUGGGGGCAUUCGUAUUGCGACGUUAGAGGUGAAAUUCUUGGAUCGUCGCAAGACGGACAGAAGCGAAAGCAUUUGCCAAAAAUGUUUUCAUUAAUCAAGAACGAAAGUUAGAGGUUCGAAGGCGAUCAGAUACCGCCCUAGUUCUAACCAUAAACGAUGCCAGCUAGCGAUCCGCCGAAGUUCCUCCGAUGACUCGGCGGGCAGCUUCCGGGAAACCAAAGCUUUUGGGUUCCGGGGGAAGUAUGGUUGCAAAGCUGAAACUUAAAGGAAUUGACGGAAGGGCACCACCAGGAGUGGAGCCUGCGGCUUAAUUUGACUC